UGGGGAAUCUUGGGCAAUGGGCGAAAGCCUGACCCAGCGACGCCGCGUGGGGGAAGAAGGCCUUCGGGUUGUAAACCCCUUUUGCAGGGGACGACACAGGACGGUACCCUGCGAAUAAGCCACGGCUAACUCUGUGCCAGCAGCCGCGGUAAGACAGAGGUGGCGAGCGUUGCUCGGAUUUACUGGGCUUAAAGGGCGCGUAGGUGGCCUUGUAAGUCAAAGGUGGAAUUCC
This 232-nucleotide ribosomal RNA is filed under the name uncultured Thermodesulfovibrio sp. RNAcentral's name for it is "partial 16S ribosomal RNA". It matches the Rfam family "Bacterial small subunit ribosomal RNA", at positions 355 to 603 of the family's 1533-position model. Lineage: Bacteria; Pseudomonadati; Nitrospirota; Thermodesulfovibrionia; Thermodesulfovibrionales; Thermodesulfovibrionaceae. The record is from RNAcentral.